This 198-nucleotide ribosomal RNA is filed under the name Triticum aestivum (bread wheat). Its description in RNAcentral is "partial small subunit ribosomal RNA". Lineage: Eukaryota; Viridiplantae; Streptophyta; Magnoliopsida; Poales; Poaceae. The record is from RNAcentral.
AUGGCCGCUGGUUCCAGCACCGUAACCCACUGGUACCAGCUCUGCCAUGCCAUAGAUGCAGCAUCACGGGUCGGCAUCCGCGGGGGCGCAUCUCGCUGUCGAACUAGUCGGACAUGGCUACAGGGUAACAACACGGGGGAAGAAAACGAGAAGGAGCUUCAUGCAGCGGUGGUGGUGCUGGUGGUGGUGCUGCUGUAG